AUUGAACGCUGGCGGCAUGCUUUACACAUGCAAGUCGAACGGUAACAGGGAGCUUGCUCCGCUGACGAGUGGCGAACGGGUGAGUAAUGCGUCGGAACGUGCCGAGUAGUGGGGGAUAACGCAUCGAAAGGUGUGCUAAUACCGCAUACGUACUGAGGUAGAAAGUGGGGGACCUUCGGGCCUCACGCUAUUCGAGCGGCCGACGUCUGAUUAGCUAGUUGGUGAGGUAAAGGCUCACCAAGGCGACGAUCAGUAGCGGGUCUGAGAGGAUGAUCCGCCACACUGGGACUGAGACACGGCCCAGACUCCUACGGGAGGCAGCAGUGGGGAAUUUUGGACAAUGGGCGCAAGCCUGAUCCAGCCAUGCCGCGUGUCUGAAGAAGGCCUUCGGGUUGUAAAGGACUUUUGUCCGGGAGCAAAUGCCUGGUGUUAAUAGCACUGGGAGCUGAGAGUACCGGAAGAAUAAGCACCGGCUAACUACGUGCCAGCCGCCGCUGUAA
RNAcentral lists this ribosomal RNA (500 nucleotides) under uncultured bacterium. Its description in RNAcentral is "partial 16S ribosomal RNA". It matches the Rfam family "Bacterial small subunit ribosomal RNA", at positions 30 to 523 of the family's 1533-position model. The record is from RNAcentral.